UAUAUAUAUGUGGUUUUUUUUCCUGGUGUC
Molecule: non-coding RNA, 30 nt
Filed under: Mus musculus (house mouse)
Lineage: Eukaryota; Metazoa; Chordata; Mammalia; Rodentia; Muridae
Source: RNAcentral